AAAAAGGCAAAUCUUGUAUUUCCGUGUCCAACUUUAACUGUCCGUCUUAAUAAUUUUUUUUAUAAUUCGUAUUUUCAUUGGUGUUAGACGAUAAAAUAUGAUUAAUAUUUUAUGCGUGACUUGUCUUUUUAAUUUUUUUCAUAUUUUAUUCAAAUAAGACGAAUGGUCAAAUGUUGGGCACGAAAAUCAGGGUUUGUCUUUUU
Oryza sativa Indica Group (long-grained rice) is the source of this 203-nucleotide microRNA precursor. It matches the Rfam family "MIR812 microRNA precursor family". NCBI's taxonomy places the organism in Eukaryota, Viridiplantae, Streptophyta, Magnoliopsida, Poales, Poaceae. The record is from Rfam.